Molecule: long non-coding RNA, 9762 nt
Organism: Brassica rapa (field mustard)
Lineage: Eukaryota; Viridiplantae; Streptophyta; Magnoliopsida; Brassicales; Brassicaceae
Source: RefSeq, a predicted model, not a curated record
CUUUGGAAUCUCUGGAAGGGGAGGAAUGCUCUGAUGUUUGAAAAGACCCGUAUAUCAGCUUCUUCAAUGGUUACUAAAGCUCUAGAAGAAGCAGAGAUUUGGAAUAAGGUUAACUCGAAUGUUCUGGCAUGCGAGGAAGUACAGGUUCAACCUCCUACUGUUCAAAAUAUAUGGACUAAGCCUCCCUUGGGUUCCAUCAAAUGUAACAUUGGAAUGGCUUGGAGUAGUUUGGGACCGUUUACGGGAGCAAGCUGGAUCACAAGAGAUAGCUGUGGGCGUCCUAUUCAUCAUAGUCGUCGAGCUUUCUGUUCCUCUGCCUAUAAACGGGAGUCAGACCUUAAAUCUCUUCUUUGGGCUAUAGAAGCGAUGGGUAGCUUGCGGGUCAAGAAAGUUAUCUUUGAAGCUUCUUCUUUCGAGGUGAGACAGUCCCUCCUACACCCCUAUCACUAUAUGGAUCUCCUACCCCUUAUCCAACGAAUCCUAGCUCUCUUACACUGUUUUGAGGUAUGGUCUAUAUGCUAUGUAUCUGAUCAGAAUAACAGUGUAGCACAAGCAAUUGCAGAAAGCGUGGUUAUAGGGGCUCGCUCACAAUCGUAUGUUGGGUCUGGGGGGCCUUUGUGGCUGCAGCAACUUAUUCAGCAAGAGGCAGGGAAUUAAGUAACAUUCUAUAGCUCCGUUCUCCGUUCUCUGGUGGUUUUUAAACUGUCCCCUUUUUCUAUAGCUCUUUUACAAGAGUGCUGUGGUACCUACUGGUACUUGUAUUUUUCUCAGCUUUUUUCAUAUUCUCUUGUCUUUGCAGUAAUAUUGUCCUUUUGGACUUUCAAAUUAAUGAAAACUCAGUGUUAAAAAAAAAAAAGCACCUCCUUCUCUGCUGACGUGGCUGCUUGUGGAGAGAGCAUAAUCUAACUUCCUCUUUAUGAUUACGUGGCAGCACAGGAGAAGAGAAUCUUCUCCUUUAUAUAUAUAUUGGUAUUUGCCAACGCCAUCAUUUACUCGAGCUUACGGAAACUGAACAUCUUAGUUGGGAAAGGAUUAGCAACGACAGGCACUUCAACCAGCUUGGUAAACUCGUCGACUCGGAUGGCGACGUUUGAAUAACAAAGGUUGAAAUUUUUGUUGCUUAACAUGACAUCGAAACCCUCUCAGCUUGUUCAUAGCCCCCUCCCUAAGAAGUUCUAUGAAAGUGUUAAGGCAAUACAGAGGCUUGGAUGAGAUAUUCCUAUAGGAAGAAGAGAUAUGUAUGUUUAUAAGAGACCAACAAUUAUGGAACCAAAUAACAGUAAUCACGAAUCAAAAUCAGUGCAAAUACCAAAAAAAAAAACUAAACUAAACAAACAAACAGUAAUCACGAAUCACAAUUAGUGUAAAAUCUACCUUAUCAUUCAAAGUAGCAUCUCGUUUCCCAUAAUUUCACCACCUUUCUUCACAUUCCUAGCUUUCCAACAACCGAGAAGGCGUGUGACAACGGUUAGACUGCAACGACCAUGCUUAAAUUCGGAAAGUUAUAUGGGAAGUCGCCAUUGUUCAACUCAACUUUCAAAUAUUUGAGUUUGCUUGCUAGGAAGGUCCAAUAUUUAUAGAUGUAGAUUUAGGGGGUUACAGUGGAAACGAAAAUGUAGAUAGAAAUCUUAAUGUGGGAGUUGUGGCCUAAUGAAGGGAAAACCCAGAUUAAAUGACGGAUUUAAGGAUUUGUGAGACGUUACGGUUAGCAAAGGGAGUCGAGUUUAGUCUGUGUGUUCGUCGGCUAAGACUCAGCUGCAAGAAGAAGAAGGGAGAAGAACCCUAAUACAUGUGGGCAGCAAAUAACAUGUGGGCCGCAAAAAUAUAAGUGAAGCCCAGAUAGAUUUUACUUUCGGGACGCGCGUGAGCGUAACAAAUAUACAAAAACAAAAGAAACCCAUGAACACACAGAGAGCAUAACGAGUCUACAUGUGUCGCUAAAAACACCUCCUUCUCUGCUGACGUGGCUGCUUGUGGAGAGAGCAUAAUCUAACUUCCUCUUUUUGAUUACGUGGCAGCACAGGAGAAGAGAAUCUUCUCCUUUAUAUAUAUUGGUAUUUGCCAACGCCAUCAUUUACUCGAGCUUACGGAAAUUGAACAUCUCAGUUGGAAAAGGAUUAGCAACGACAGGCACUUCAACCAGCUUGGUAAACUCGUCGACUCGGAUGGCGACGUUUGAAUAACAAAGGUUGAAAUUUUUGUUGCUUAACGUGACAUCGAACCCUCUCAGCUUGUUCAUAGCCCCCUCCCUAAGAAGUUCUAUGAAAGUGUUAAGGCGAUACAGAGGCUUGGAUGAGAGAUUCCUGUAGGAAGAAGAGAUAUGUAUGUUUAUAAGAGACCAACAAUUACGGAACCAAAUAACAGUAAUCACGAAUCAAAAUCAGUGCAAAUACCAAAAAAAAAAAAAAACUAAAUUAAACUAAACAAACAAACAGUAAUCACGAAUCACAAUUAGUGUAAAAUCUACCUUAUCAUUCAAAGUAGCAUCUCGUUUCCCAUAAUUUCACCACCUUUCUUCACAUUCCUAGCUUUCCAACAACCGAGAAGGCGUGUGACAACGGUUAGACUGCAACGAUCAUGCUUAAAUUCGGAAAGUGAUAUGGGAAGUCGCCAUUGUUCAACUCAACUUUCAAAUAUUUGAGUUUGCUUGCUAGGAAGGUCCAAUAUUUAUAGAUGUAGAUUCAGGGGGUUACAGUGGAAACGAAAAUGUAGAUAGAAAUCUUAAUGUGGGAGUUCUGGCCUAAUGAAGGGAAAACCUAGAUUAAAUAACGGAUUUAAGGAUUUGUGAGACGUUACGGUUAGCAAAGGGAGUCGAGUUUAGUCUGUGUGUUCGUCGGCUAAGACUCAGCUGCAGGAAGAAGAAGGGAGAAGAAUCCUAAUACAUGUGGGCAGCAAAUAACAUGUAGGCCGCAAAAAUAUAAGUGAAGCCCAGAUAGAUUUUACUUUCGGGACGCGCGUGAGCGUAACAAAUAUACAAAAACAAAUGAAACCCGUAAACACACAGAGAGCAUAACGAGUCUACAUGUGUCGCUUAAAGCACCUCCUUCUCUGCUGACGUGGCUGCUUGUGGAGAGAGCAUAAUCUAACUUCCUCUUUUUGAUUACGUGGCAGCACAGGAGAAGAGAAUCUUCUCCUUUAUAUAUAUUGGUAUUUGCCAACGCCAUCAUUUACUCGAGCUUACAGAAAUUGAACAUCUCAGUUGGGAAAGGAUUAGCAACGACAGGCACUUCAACCAGCUUGGUAAACUCGUCGACUCGGAUGGCGACGUUUGAAUAAAAAAGGUUGAAAUUUUUGUUGCUUAACGUGACAUCGAACCCUCUCAGCUUGUUCAUAGCCCCCUCCCUAAGAAGUUCUAUGAAAGUGUUAAGGCAAUACAGAGGCUUGGAUGAGAGAUUCCUGUAGGAAGAAGAGAUAUGUAUGUUUAUAAGAGACCAACAAUUAUGGAACCAAAUAACAGUAAUCACGAAUCAAAAUCUGUGCAAAUACCAAAAAAAAAAAAAAAACUAAACUAAACAAACAAACAGUAAUCACAAAUCACAAUUAGUGUAAAAUCUACCUUAUCAUUCAAAGUAGCAUCUCGUUUUCCAUAAUUUCACCACCUUUCUUCACAUUCCUAGCUUUCCAACAACCGAGAAGGCGUGUGACAACGGUUAGACUGCAACGACCAUGCUUAAAUUCGGAAAGUGAUAUGGGAAGUCGCCAUUGUUCAACUCAACUUUCAAAUAUUUGAGUUUGCUUGCUAGGAAGGUCCAAUAUUUAUAGAUGUAGAUUUAGGGGGUUACAGUGGAAACGAAAAUGUAGAUAGAAAUCUUAAUGUGGGAGUUGUGGCCUAAUGAAGGGAAAACCCAGAUUAAAUGACGGAUUUAAGGAUUUGUGAGACGUUACGGUUAGCAAAGGGAGUCGAGUUUAGUCUGUGUGUUCGUCGGCUAAGAGUCAGCUGCAAGAAGAAGGGAGAAGAACCCUAAUACAUGUGGGCAGCAAAUAACAUGUGGGCAGCAAAAAUAUAAGUGAAGCCCAUACAGAUUUUACUUUCGGGACGUGCGUGAGCGUAACAAAUCUACAAAAAAGAGAAACGCGUGAACACACAGAGACCACAACGAGUCUACACGUGUCGCUAAAAGCACCUCCUUUUUCUGCUGACGUGGCUGCCUGUGGAGAGAGCAUAAUUUAGGAUAGGCCCGCCCUACGGGCGGGAAGUAAAAAAAAAUCUUUUAUUUAUUCUCAAUUUGAAAAUAAUUUUUAAAAAUAUUUAUUAUUGGAUUUUGUUAUUUUUAUUUUAAAAACAUAUGUUUAACUAACUAAAAAUCAUUUUAUUACGUCAUUAUUUUGCAUUUUUCAAUACUGAUAUUAUUCAGAAUGGCGGCGGAGAUUCAACAUAUAAGUUUUUCUCUUUUAUAUAUUUUAAUAUUUUUUUUUCUUUUUUACUUCUCUUUGAAAUCUAUUAUUUGAAAUUGAAUUAAACGCUCAGGUGCUCCUGCCCGGAAAAAAAUGAUCUGAGAUACUCCUGCCCGAAACUGACCGGAUUUGGAAUUUAAUAUAUCUUUAAUUAAAUCAAAAAAUUUAUUAAAAGACCACAGAGCCAACAGAAACUUACAUAAUUACAACCUAACCAGGGCCAUUUCGCGGACCAUCCAUACCCGAUCCAUAAAUUCGGAUCUAUUUCGCCUUAACUUCCGAAACCUUUAUAUGACUUAGUGUAAUUGUAAACUUUGGUAUAACUGUGUAGCGUAAUAAAACCUGAACAAAUAAAUACUGUCCCAGUUACAAAGUUAUGCUAAAUUGAACAAAAUCGCACAUUGAGUACUCCACAUUUAUAUUGCAAUUUAUUAUUACGUUAUUGUUCGGCCACAUGUGUUGUUAUUGAUAUAUUUAGUGAAGUUCAAAUAAAAAGAUUAGUUUAUAGAUAUAACUAGAGUAAUUACAAAAUGUUUAUAGAUAGAACUAGAGAAAUAACAGAGCAUAACAGCUCAUCAACUUAACAACUUAGUAAAACUAGAUAAAACUUCUACUAAUUUUCAAUUGGCCAUGUGCGAGCAGUCAAGUGUAUUUGGUAGCAGAAGUCCCAAGCUGCACAAUUCUAGAAACAACGAUCGCAUUUCCACCGUGAUCGUGAUCCAUCUAGGGAGACUUCAAACUCUGGAGGGUCUAUGUGGGAACACCAGCAAUCACAUGGCACAUUAGGAUCUAUCCUUUCAGCCACAGAUAGAAACACGUCAGGUUUAUCGUAAUCCCAAUGGCCUGAGAGUUGCCAACUACAGAUGAUUUGAAACAUCUUAUAAACAUGUUGACGAGUAAAGGCCGGAUAGUUGUGAACAAUUCCCCUAUGAUCAAUGCUAAAGGCUAAGUUCAGCAUUCCAUCAACAAACUGGGCCAACUCGCAUCCUCUCUCACCAGCAAGAUGGAUUUUUUCCCUUCCUUCAUCAACUAAAUGGAGGAUGAAGAACUCAUACAUACCUCUCAAGUAUAUGGCCUCUGGAUUACCCGAACGGUAGCAUUUAAGCCUGAAUGUUCGAACAGCACUAACCUCGUCUACCCAGUCAUUCAGGUAAAUGAGAUUGGCCGUAGAAGUGAUCUUCUCUUCCAACUUCGUUGAACCCGGGAAAAGCAAUCCUUGCAGAACCAAAAUCCCGGAUAUUCAUCGUUGCUACCGUAGAGAGAAUCUUAUGAAGCUUUGAAGGAGGGAGAGAAUCCAUGUCUAACUCUGAUAAAAGAAAAAAUGUUAUUGUGUGAGAGAGAUGAGGGAAAUUGUAGAGAUUCGAAAUUGUAUGUAAUUGUAGAGUGUAAUUGUAGAAGUGAUAAACCAUUUAUAGGUGAUUUGAUGGACUCCUCGAGAAGAUAUGACUUCUGUGACACGCCUUUUGAAUAACAGUCGCAUCUGUUGGAAUUGAAACUUUGUAAAACUAUAAUUUAUUAAGAUAUAUCUAACUAUAUUUAAUGAAGUUGAACAGUGGCGUGUCCAUUUAAGGUUGAUUUGAUGAGUAUUAUUACUUGAUUGACUCAGGUUGAUUUGAUGAGUAUUAUUACUUGAUUGACUCGAGACUCCCCCGAGAUUAAACCAUUUCUCUCCCCGAGAAAGCAUAACUACUUCAACUUAUCUAACACGCUUUCUGACUGCAACAGUCGCCUCUCCUGAAUUUUAACAUACAUAAAGUCUCUUGUGAAAAAGUCUCUUUUAAUAAUCAUUACACUUCCGAGUAUCAUUUAUACGCUACAUCUCUUGCAUUUAAGAGAAUUCUGCAUUUAAACACUCACUGUUACUCCAUCUCCUCUCUCAUCUCUUCUCUCAUCUCUGAGAAUACUCCAUCUCUUCUCUCAUCUCUCAACAAACAAGAUGGCAGAGUACGAUAAGCUUUCCGAGGUUACUUAUAACCCGGCGGUCAGGGCUUGGCGUUUCAGAGUGAAACUACACAGGAUCUACCCUUUCUAUUCCUGUGUUACCAACAGUGGGCUUUACUAUAACUAUAUCCUCGCAGAUGAAGAUGUAAGUGUUAUAUCAUCAUCUCUCAAUUGUGUAAUAAACAUGUAACCGUCAGAAAUAAAAACUUUAUCCUUGUAACAUGUAAUAAACAUGAUCUUUGUACUUUAUUUUUGUAGGGAUACAAGAUGGAGAUGAACACUUAUGGGAAUUAUAAAAAAUUUAGAGGCCUUGAGAAGGAAGAGGGAAGAUGGGUGGAAAUCUUUGUGGUAGAUGUUGAACGGGCCUACCCAUGUUUCAAGACAACUAGGUCUCCGUUCAGGCUAAUUGCUUCGCGCCUUACGCAAGUCCGCAUCAUCGAACCUCUGAACAAUCGUCUUUUCUUUGAUUUGAAAAGCAUCCAUGCAAUCCCUCGCAUGCACUGGUGUGACCUCAAAUAUCCCAUAGGUAACAUGGCUUGGUUUCAGAACUUUGUAUAACUCUGUAGAUGUAAGUGAAACUAAGUGAAACGAACUGAUUUAGUUGAGUAACACUUAUAUGGUAGAUACAAUGGGAGUGGUCUUCAACACGGAAGCCCAUCUCGAUGCCCCUUCAGGACCAAGGAUGGAGUUUUACAUAAGGGACAACAUGUGAGUAUAAAGUAACAUAUGAUCUAAGCAAAAUUUGUAUAUAUAUAUAUAUAUAUAUAUUGUAACUGACGCACUUUUUCUUUAUUCUGAAUAGUGACCAUCAGAUAAGAUGUGUGGUGACCGGCACUCAGGCAGUUGCCUUCCGGGAUGGUCUUGAUGACAUGAGUGGUGGGGGUCGUAGACAGGUGAUUGUGGUCCUUAAGAUGUGGAGAGUCUGUGAAUCUACGAGUAAGUGUUGUUUCUGUGUCUAGUUUUAAAUGUGAUAAUUGAGUAGAACUUUUGCUAAAAUCAAGACCAUGCAGAUUAUUUUGGUCCUGAUGAUAUAUGGCUUCAGACUGAAGGUGGAUUUGCGGACUUCAGGUUCAAUCCGCGUUUGCCAGAGGUUGAGGAAUUCAGGCAGUCUGUACUAAACAGCGACCCUUAUGUUCAGAAAUAUGGGGUUGAAUGUCUCAUGUAAAUGUUUAAUGUCGGUGAAACUUUGUUUAAAUAUCGGUACAACUAUGUGUUAAUGUUGGUGAAACUAUCUCUAUUGUCGGUACAACUUUGUUCACUCUAUUGUUCAAUUUUCCAACUUUAUAGUUUCACUUAGUUAAUUUUCCAACUUUUCGUUUCACUUAAUCUCACCUGUUUCAACUUUUGGUUUCACUUAAUCUCACUUGUUUCAACUUUUGGUUUCACUUAAUCCUUGUUCCAACUUCUGGCUUAACUUAAUCCUCUGUUCGACUUUUUCGUAUAAAUAGGUCAGAUAUUGUGUUAAUUUCAUUUUCUCAAUUGUCUAACAAACUAAAAAUAAUAGAAACUUUUUCGAUAGAUCAAACUACAUGGUUGUUCAACUUCGCAUAACUUAGAAAAACAUAGCUUAGCAAUAACAGUUAGUUAUAGGAAUUGGAAUUCUCUUAGGAAUUUCAAUUACUUUUUGUACAUCAUAAUUCCUACAACUAAAACGAUGGUAAGAAGAACACAACCUCUUGAUAUCUUUAUCAUGGGCAUCUUUUUGGGACCUUCGCGGAUAUCUCCUUCAUUCCUUAUUGUUGCUUUGAGACUCUGAACUUCUUCUUCGAGCAUUCGAACUUGGUAGUCCAGCUGCUGUAUCUCAUCGGUGAAGGCUUCGUCAACCCAUUUGAAGACAUGAUUGUCGUUCUCGAGCUACAACAUGAUUUUUUUCAAAACGAGUAAGCGUGAUUCAUAAGCGUUCGAUAUAUAAACAACAAACGGAUGUACCCUUUGUGAAGCCGCAAAGAGACACCGAUAAUACCGGCGAUAUGGGUUUGGAUUGCUUCUGGACAUGAUCUCGGUGACGCCCACCCCGCACCAACACCUACUAGGUAUCCCCGAAGUUCGUAUCCGUCUCCGACCACCGGUCAUGGAAGAUGAAGCGGCGGACAUCUCGGUUUUUGGGAGGGGAGGGAGUGACGACGAGAGAGAGGAGAAAGAUUAGGGAAGAGAGAGAAAAUGAAGAUAGAAAAUGGGGAAAACCUAAAAAAAUGGUCUUUAAUACUUCGAUUGAACGAUUGGGAAAAGCUGGGAAAUUAGAAAUUCGAAAAGCUGGGAAAUUAGAAAUUCGAAAAGCUGAGAAAUUAGAAAUUCGAAAAGCUGGGAAAUUAGAAAUUCGAAAAGCUGGGCGGGAAAAUUAAGAAUCCCACGGUUUUUUCUGUUGUAAGUUUCACCAAGUACUCAGUUUUACAGAAAGUGUCAAAGUUGCACUUUUUAAUUAUUUCUAUUUAUCUUAGUUAUACUCGACUUGAAUUAAUGAUUUUGUGGUUAUACCAAUGCAAUUAUGUUUCCUGAGUUCAUUUCUCAUACGAUCAUGUACAUAUAAACUUGAUUUCGUGCCAUAAAGAGUUAUCAAAUCUAACGAGGUCAGUUUCAGCGAUAAAGCUAUGACAACACAUUGUAUUUCCUAUAUGAUUGCUACCAAGCAAUGAGAUAGAAUUUUAACAAUUCUGAUUAAAUCAUAAUUAACAUAGCACUAAUAAUAAACUACAAUCGUAUUACUUCCAUGACUUAUAAAAUUAAAUUACAAAGUUUAGCAUUUACAAUCAUAUUAUUCAAUUUACAUAACGUAGUUAUACCAGUUUCACUUAGUUAUACAACACACAAAUAAAAUUUAUUUCACCUCACAGCGUUCUCAUACGAUAAAAACACCAAAACCGAAAGUGAAAGGCAAACACCAAAACCGAAAGUGAAAGGCUUACAACCUAAUCCACAUCAAAACUGAAACCGAAAGGUUUACAACCUACUCUUCUUCUGUUUCUUGUGGGGAUGUUCAUCGUGCUCCAAACAUGUGCCCACAUUAUCUUCUUCUCCAUUUCCACUCUCACGCUCACAAUAGUUCCUACUACAAGAGCUCUCUCCAACUCUCGACAGUUGCUCGGUUAUUUGAACUAUUUGCAAUUCUUCGAUGUCCUCCACAUGCAAAAUACUUCUUCUUUGCUCUCUAUCAACUGAUGUUAGAUAAACAAACACAUCUUCAUCAUCCAAAAUAUAUGAUUGCCUCUUAGGUUCCACUACCAAUGGAAUGUAACCCAAAUUGAGCCUCUUCGUAAACGGAUAUAUUCCCAUCUUCCUGCAUAUCCUCUCUUUCAACAACGAAUAAGUGAUCUCCUCCAAUGAUGAUGUCUUAAAGGAUAUAGCAUACAAACGAGCAUCGGUUGGAAUCCAUUCAUAAUCAUCUCCAUCCUUAGAAUAAUGUCCAUCAUAAUCAAAGUGUAUGUUCGU